UACGUAGGGUGCGAGCGUUAAUCGGAAUUACUGGGCGUAAAGCGUGCGCAGGCGGUUCGUCGUGUCCGAUGUGAAAGCCCCGGGCUCAACCUGGGAAUGGCAUUGGAAACUGGCGGACUCGAGUGUGGCAGAGGGGGGUGGAAUUCCGCGUGUAGCAGUGAAAUGCGUAGAGAUGCGGAGGAACACCGAUGGCGAAGGCAGCCCCCUGGGCUAACACUGACGCUCAGGCACGAAAGCGUGGGGAGCAAAAGGG
This 253-nucleotide ribosomal RNA is filed under the name uncultured bacterium. RNAcentral's name for it is "partial 16S ribosomal RNA". It matches the Rfam family "Bacterial small subunit ribosomal RNA", at positions 524 to 776 of the family's 1533-position model. The record is from RNAcentral.